GAGUUAAGGUAUCCAAGAAAAAGCUUCUAACUUUAUUCUUAAGCAGUGAAAUUCUGUUUUUUUCUCU
Molecule: transfer RNA, 67 nt
Filed under: Scolytinae sp. BMNH 1274277
Lineage: Eukaryota; Metazoa; Arthropoda; Insecta; Coleoptera; Curculionidae
Description: tRNA-Ser
Source: RNAcentral